UAAUUGCUUGCAUGUGU
Molecule: microRNA, 17 nt
Filed under: Corchorus olitorius
Lineage: Eukaryota; Viridiplantae; Streptophyta; Magnoliopsida; Malvales; Malvaceae
Description: hsa-miR-30
Source: RNAcentral